CCUACGGGAGGCUGCAGUGGGGAAUAUUGCGCAAUGGGCGAAAGCCUGACGCAGCGACGCCGCGUGAGGGAUGAAGGUCUUCGGAUCGUAAACCUCUGUCAGCAGGGAAGAACGGUCACUGUGCUAAUCAGCAGUGAAUUGACGGUACCUGACUAAGAAGCCCCGGCUAACUACGUGCCAGCAGCCGCGGUAAUACGUAGGGGGCAAGCGUUAUCCGGAUUUACUGGGUGUAAAGGGAGCGUAGACGGCAAGGCAAGCCAGAAGUGAAAGGGCAGGGCUCAACCCUGUACAUGCUUUUGGAACUGUGGUGCUAGAGUGCAGGAGAGGUAAGUGGAAUUCCUAGUGUAGCGGUGAAAUGCGUAGAUAUUAGGAGGAACACCAGUGGCGAAGGCGGCUUACUGGACUGUAACUGACGUUGAGGCUCGAAAGCGUGGGGAGCAAACAGGAUUAGAUACCCCUGUAGUC
RNAcentral lists this ribosomal RNA (465 nucleotides) under uncultured bacterium. RNAcentral's name for it is "partial 16S ribosomal RNA". It matches the Rfam family "Bacterial small subunit ribosomal RNA", at positions 338 to 795 of the family's 1533-position model. The record is from RNAcentral.